GACGAACGCUGGCGGCGUGCUUAACACAUGCAAGUCGAACGGAAAGGCCCUGCUUUUGUGGGGUGCUCGAGUUGCGAACGGGUGAGUAACACGUGAGUAACCUGCCCUUGACUGUGGGAUAACUUCAGGCAACUGGGGCUAAUACCGGAUAGGAGCUCCUGCUGCAUGGUGGGGGUUGGAAAGUUUCGGCGGUUGGGGAUGGAAUCGCGGCUUAUCAGCUUGUUGGUGGGGUAGUGGCUUACCAAGGCUUUGACGGGUAGCCGGCCUGAGAGGGUGACCGGCCACAUUGGGACUGAGCUGCGACCCAGACUCCUACGGGAGGCAGGAGUGGGGAAUAUUGCACAAUGGGAGGAAGCCAGAUGCAGCAACGCCGCGUGCGGGAUGACGGCCUUCGGGUUGUAAUCCGAUUUCGUCUGUGACGAAGCGUGAGUGACGGUAAUGGGUAAAGAAGCACCGGCUAACUACGUG
RNAcentral lists this ribosomal RNA (468 nucleotides) under uncultured bacterium. RNAcentral describes it as "partial 16S ribosomal RNA". It matches the Rfam family "Bacterial small subunit ribosomal RNA", at positions 28 to 507 of the family's 1533-position model. The record is from RNAcentral.